This is a long non-coding RNA of Crotalus tigris (Tiger rattlesnake), 511 nucleotides long. RefSeq lists it as uncharacterized. Lineage: Eukaryota; Metazoa; Chordata; Lepidosauria; Squamata; Viperidae. The record is from RefSeq and is a predicted model, not a curated record. The transcript is spliced from 4 exons.
CUCAGGCGACGGAGCAAACGGAGAUCUCUGUUCACAUGGCCUCAUCGGCCACUGCAUCGAGCCCAGGCAAAUACCAUCUUCCGCUGAAAUCAUAGAGGUACGCCACGCGUUUCCUGCUGCCUGCUUGGGGUGAUUCAUCACCAUAGAAGUUGGAAGUCUUUUCUUCUAGAAAGGCUGCCUCGGCGACGCAUCUCCCUUCGCUUGGCGCUCUGGGUGUUUUGGGAAAGGAAAGCAAGACGGGCUUCGAAACAGCAAAAGAAUGAGAGAUGAGUUCACCAAAUAAAGCAAUUGAGUUACAGUUGCAAAUACGACAAAAUGCUGAGGAACUUCAAGAUUUUGUGAAAGAUUUGGAAUCAUGGGAGAAGGAUAUUAAAGAAAAAGAUCAUGAUUUAAGGCAUCAGAGUGACACUGCCAAAAAAGAUUUACCCCCUAUUCGGAAUGAAGCUUACAAAAAAAAGAAGAGCAAAGUUAAAACAGUCUCAAAACAAACAAGUGAGGAAAACAAAAAAAA